Homo sapiens (human) is the source of this 231-nucleotide long non-coding RNA. RefSeq lists it as uncharacterized. The transcript is spliced from 2 exons. NCBI's taxonomy places the organism in Eukaryota, Metazoa, Chordata, Mammalia, Primates, Hominidae. The record is from RefSeq and is a predicted model, not a curated record.
CUCUGGUGGCCAGAAAAAGUCCUACGGCAAAGAAAUGCAGAUACUAGCAGUUGGACCUCCAGCCAGUGUAGUGGAUGGAUUGGUAAAGCUGAAAGCAAAGAACUCUUUAGAUAGUGGAGUCACACUGGAAAAAGCACAGACCCUUGAGUGUACUGCUUGGAGGAGAGCUACCCUGGAGCAUUUGCUCCAGAUUCUGCAUGAGCAAAAAAUAAACUUUUGCUGCAUAAAGUA